This 899-nucleotide small RNA is filed under the name Pongo abelii (Sumatran orangutan). Its description in RNAcentral is "retained intron". Lineage: Eukaryota; Metazoa; Chordata; Mammalia; Primates; Hominidae. The record is from RNAcentral.
UAUCAGGGAUUCCUGUCAUGGGCUGAAGCUGUGUUCCUGCUUCUCCUCUGGGAUUAUCAGCCUUGACUAUGCUGGAAUUCCUUGUACUCUGGCCAGCCACACUUUUGUUCCCUACAAGAAGAGGAACUGAAGUGAAAGUCCCAUAGCUGGUUGCUAAAUUCUUAACUCCAUGCAGUAGAGUUCUCUGGCCUCUCCUUCCACCCAGUGUCCCUAUUGGUUUUCCAAGCAUAUAUAUUUUUUCAGCCCCUUUCUGUUAGCUUAGAAAGCUUGACCCAGUAAUGGACCUUUAGGACCAGAUGUUAUAGGGGGCAGCAGCAUAGAUUCCCAGAAAGAUUCUGAGCACACUGACCCCUUGGCUUUUCUCAGACCACUGGCAAGCAACAGGUCCCUUUAGUAAUCUUAGGCUGUAUGUGGGGGACUUCAACUCUUGGGUGUCUGAGAUAAAAAUUUUCUUUUCUUAAGAUCUACAACUCUUGAAAAAGAAGUUCCUGUCAUCUUCAUCCACCCUUUAAACACUGGAUUAUUCCGGAUAAAAAUUCAAGGAGCCACUGGAAAAUUUAACAUGGUCAUCCCUCUUGUGGAUGGGAUGAUUGUCAGCAGGCGAGCUCUUGGCUUUCUGGUGAGGCAGACUGUAAUUAACAUCUGUAGAAGAAAGAGACUGGAAAGUGACUCCUACAGUCCCCCGCAUGUCCGCCGGAAACAGAAAAUCACCGACAUUGUCAACAAGUACCGGAACAAGCAGUUGGAACCAGAGUUUUAUACUUCACUUUUCCAGGAGGACCAAGCAGCACACUGCAGUAGUUUAUGAAGGAUUCUAAUAUGGGGUUCAGGAAUAGCCUCUCAACGCUACUAAUUCAGAUCUCUCCCAGAGAACUACUGGAUUUCCUCAUAAUUGACAA